RNAcentral lists this ribosomal RNA (391 nucleotides) under uncultured bacterium. Its description in RNAcentral is "bacterial SSU rRNA". It matches the Rfam family "Bacterial small subunit ribosomal RNA", at positions 505 to 898 of the family's 1533-position model. The record is from RNAcentral.
GUGUCAGCCGCCGCGGUAAUACGGAGGGUGCAAGCGUUAUCCGGAUUCACUGGGUUUAAAGGGUGCGUAGGUGGGUUGGUAAGUCAGUGGUGAAAUCCCCGAGCUUAACUUGGGAACUGCCAUUGAUACUAUUAAUCUUGAAUAUUGUGGAGGUCAGCGGAAUAUGUCAUGUAGCGGUGAAAUGCUUAGAGAUGACAUAGAACACCAAUUGCGAAGGCAGCUGGCUACGCAUAUAUUGACACUGAGGCACGAAAGCGUGGGGAUCAAACAGGAUUAGAUACCCUGGUAGUCCACGCCCUAAACUAUGGAUACUCGACAUCAGCGAUACACUGUUGGUGUCUGAGCGAAAGCAUUAAGUAUCCCACCUGGGAAGUACGACCGCAAGGUUGAA